GCGAGCAGCUGGGAAACGGGUGUCGAGCUUCUUCCUCAUGGCUGUCAGAUUUGGAGCAUUUAAAUUAAAAAAAAAAUCCCAAAUAAAUAGUUACAACAGCAGAAGCAGAAAGCUAAAACAACCAAAAACAGAAAUCAAAAUUAUAUUUUUCAAAUCAAAAUCAUUUCUUCAUAAUUGAAUUUUGGAUAUCGCACGAAAAAUCUAUAUGCUAUCCGUCUUCAGAUCCAAAAACAAGUUAAGUCUCGUUUCCAUCGAAUACCGUCCGUACAGUUUUGACAAAA
This 281-nucleotide unclassified non-coding RNA is filed under the name Hevea brasiliensis (rubber tree). Lineage: Eukaryota; Viridiplantae; Streptophyta; Magnoliopsida; Malpighiales; Euphorbiaceae. The record is from RNAcentral.